AAGUCGUAACAAGGUUUCCGUAGGUGAACCUGCGGAAGGAUCAUUAAUGCUUUUUUUUUUCCUUUUUUUUCCUUCUCUAAACGAGAUGGCAAGUGAACUUUGCAUUUCAACAUCUGCAAAAAAAAAAGAAAACAAAAAAGAACAAAAAAAACCAAAAGAAGAAACAACACAAGAAGUGAAGAAUGCCUUUUUUUUCUCUUUUCUUCUUCGUUGUGUUCUUUUUUUUCUUUUUUCUUUCUUUUUUUGUUUUUCUUUUUUUUUUCAUUCCUUUUUUUUCAAUCCCAACAACCAAAAAACCAAAUGAAACACAUUGACAAAAACCAAUAACCAAAUCAAACAAAACAAAAAAACAACUCUUAACAAUGGAUAUCUCGGCUCUC
Molecule: unclassified non-coding RNA, 380 nt
Filed under: fungal sp.
Lineage: Eukaryota; Fungi
Description: partial internal transcribed spacer region
Rfam family: Eukaryotic small subunit ribosomal RNA (bases 1-46)
Source: RNAcentral